RNAcentral lists this ribosomal RNA (510 nucleotides) under Triticum aestivum (bread wheat). Its description in RNAcentral is "partial small subunit ribosomal RNA". Lineage: Eukaryota; Viridiplantae; Streptophyta; Magnoliopsida; Poales; Poaceae. The record is from RNAcentral.
AUGUAUGCACCUUUGGUCCACCAACACCACCAGCGCAACCACCAUCCACCACCAGGUCCACCACCACCAGAUCCCCUUCUUCUUCCUCCUCUUCCACCAGAUCUUCAUCUUCAUCCUCUAUUUGCCCUUCCUCUGCUCCUGUUCCCCUGGUCUCCAAGAGCAACCAUGGUGUCCUGGGAUGAUCUCCCAACCUCUUCUGAAGAUGACUCGGUGACCAACAAGCAUCCUGCAACAAUUUUCUGCAAAGAAUGGACUGGCCUGGCAACAGAUCUGCCUAGCUUUAAAUGUGAGCAUGGAUCUUUGUGUGAGAAGCAUGUGGCUUUUCAAUCAGUUGAUAGUGGAAGAAGAUUCCUGGCUUGUGCACACAAGGAAGUACCUAAAUGCACCUAUGUGGAAUGGAUAGACCCUGAGUGGCCUGAAGCAUUGAAGAUGAGCCUAGCUACCAUAUGGAGCAUGUAUGAAGAGGAGACAAAACAAAGCCUAAAAGAAAAUGUGUUGAGCACUGAAUAG